Long non-coding RNA from Nerophis ophidion (straightnose pipefish), 4793 nucleotides. RefSeq lists it as uncharacterized. NCBI's taxonomy places the organism in Eukaryota, Metazoa, Chordata, Actinopteri, Syngnathiformes, Syngnathidae. The transcript has 3 exons. The record is from RefSeq and is a predicted model, not a curated record.
ACACACACACACACACACACACACAGAGAUCACCUCCUGAUGUCUCCGUCGAUGCAGAACGAGUAUAGCCAGUAGAGGGACAGCGAGAAGCACACUACGGCCACCAUGACAGAGAUGGCCGACACAAAGUAGCACAGGGAGGCCGAGGUGGACGCCUGCACCCCGAUGGCGCUCGCCGUUGUGUUGUAGCUGACGAGUCCAUACAGCAUACACAAUCCUCCAAAAUUACCCUGAAAGGUGUGUACAGAAACAAUUUACAUGUGUCAAUUAACAUUACAGUUUGAAUCCUGUUGGAGCAAUGAUGAUAAGCAACUUGAGGAGAAAGUGUAGACAAGGGGUGCCCAUUACGUCGAUCACAAGCUACCGGUCGACCGAGGGGGGUGUGUCGGUCGGUCGCCAGCCAGGCUUUUAAAAAAAUAGACCUAAAAAUUAGCGAUCAUCAAUCUUCACCAAGACGUCUUUUGAUUGACAUUCACGGCACCCGAGGGUCUUGUGCACGCCAACUUUCCAAUACUCUUUAUUUUGUUAGCGCAAGCAGCAUGAAGCAGGGCUCUUAUUUUGAAGAUAGGAAAUGUGUAGUAGGCCUUUAGGCUUUUGACGACAGGUAUGGCGCGAGAGUCUGUUGAAAUAAAAAGUGUUUCUCGCUUUCUCCUCUGUCAUUUUUUCAUAAUAAUGAUUUCGCAGCAGCCAGCGUCAUCUCACAAGACAUUCGGGUGCCGUGAAUGUCAAUCAAGCAAGCUACGGAAUUUGCCGCCAUUGUUUUUCUUGUAAAGUGUAUGUGUAACAGGUGGUCUUUUCCUCUGCGUUGUGUGUGAUUUAUGGAACACGACCGACACCAUGGGUUUCUCCACUGCACUUUACUGAUAACACAGAAUACAAUUGUCAUCAAAAACUUUCUGCCAUCGUCGAGCUCCUCUCCCGUUAUCGUAAACAAAAAAGGCAUGUAGUUCCAUACACAGUAAAAUAAAAACAUACCUGAUAAUACAGAACACAAUUGUCAUCAAACACUUUGUGCCAUUGUCGAGCCCCUACACAAAUAUAAUAAUGAACAAGAAAUGAGUUGAAGUUCUAAACAAGACAAAACAUUUUCUGUCGUCGCAUGGACAACCUACCUCUCCCGUUAUCGUAGACAAAAAGGGAAGUUGGAGGGUGUGACCAACGGAUAUAAAAAGACAGGUGUCACAGUAAUUAUUGCAGUAGGAGGGACAACGAGACAAUGGUUCCACAUUGACAAAACAUCAAACAAUAUUCAGGUAUUUACAUGUAACUUUUAUAUUUUGUGUAAUUAUAACAAUAAUAAAACAUUAGAAAAUACAUUAUUUACAAGACAUAAUUGACCCUGUUACAUAUGGAAGCUGGAUAAAUAAGAUGCCAAAAACCAACCACUUUCAUGUGGUAUUGUACAGAAAGGAGGACUUUUUUUCUACUCCAUUCGAAAAUGUGGCCGUUAUCAUAUACUGUCUGAUUCCAAUCAAUGCAAGUCAUCAGAAUCAGGUAAUACACCAACUUAUAUUCUUGUCUUCAUGAAAGAAAGACAUAUAUAUGUGUUACACAUGCUUGUAUAAUCAUUAAACACAUUUAACUUAACACAAACGUCUCUUUCAUAAAUAAAUAAAUAUAAAUGAUGUAUAUGAAUGAGGUACAUCCCCUCGAUUUGGUAAAUUGAAAAGUAGCUCGCCUGCAGAAAAAGUGUGGGCACUCCUGCUGUAGACAAACAGCUGCAUGGAGCUCCUUAAUAGGGCACGAGGGCCAGGUGGUCACGUGACACAAUGUGACCACAUGACUGUUGUUAUCAAGCUCUUCCAUGUUCGCGCCUCGAAAACAGGGGUCGCUGUCUCUCCCGGUCCAAAUGGCAGAGUAGAACUCCCUCAGGGCCACUUCGGAGACCUCAAUAAACCUUUCUGGGACCUGAAUGCAGCAAGACAAAGAACUCAUCCAGAAGGUGGAGCACCACACAGAUGAUGUGGAACAGGAUGGAGCGGCGCUAUCUGUCAUCCUCAUCCCUCUAUCCUCCCCACCACAGUGCUCAAAGCAGAGUGCCAGGAAAAGAGGGGGAUGAAUAGAGGAGGACGAAGAGGCAGGGUGACUUUUUCCAUCCCCUCAACAAUAGAUGGAUGAUCUCUGCUUAUCCUCAAAUCGCAUCCCUCCUUUUUCUACCCUCUACUGCUAUUUUUCUUUGUUUUUGUCUUUUGUCAGCCCUCUCCGUCCAUCCGUCUGUCCUUCCACUCAUCCCUCAUCCCUCGCUUCUGUCUCCCCCUGCUCACUCCAGCAAACUUCAUGCUUUAAUUGGAGCUUGCUCACACAUUAUAUGUGCACCCAUGCAACCUCACUCCUACACUGCCAUAUUCCUGAAAUGUUUCUCUGAUUUGAGCCCUUUGCUGUUUUCCCUUGGGGCAAAUAAGGUUCCAGUCGCAGUAACACUGCACACUGCACAUUGCAUGUUGUCGUUUCACCUUUUUCUACUUCCUUGCUCCUCUGCAUCGUGUUCACUAUUAACUUCCAGACUCAAACAUUAUAUCAAGAUGCAAAACAAUAACGAUGUAGACCAAAAAACGGUAUACAAAACCCAAAACCAGUGCAGUUGGCACGUUGUGCAAAUCGUAAAUAAAAACAGAAUACAAUGAUUUGCAAAUCCAUUUCAACUUAUAUUCAAUUGAAUAGACUGCAAAAACAAGAUAGUUAAUGCUCAAACUGCAAAACAAUUUUGUUUUGCAAAUAUCAGCCAGCACAUUUGGAAUUUGAUGCCUCCAACAUGUUUCAAAAAAGCUGGCACAAGUGGCAAAAAAGACUGAUAGUUGAGACUUAUUUGGAACAUCCCACAGAUGAACAGGCCAAUUACGAACAUGUGGGUGUCAUGAUUGGAUAUAAAAGCAGCUUCCAUGAAAUGCUCAGACAUUCACAAACAAGGAUGUGAACAAAUACGUGAGCAAAUUGUUUAAGAGCAACAUUUCCUAACGAGUUAUUGCAAGGAAUUUCGAGGUUUCGCCAUCUACGAUCUGUAAUAUAAUCAAAGGGUUCAGAGAAUCUGGAGAAAUCACUGCACGUAAGAGAUGAUGAAAGAGUGCGGGUACUAGACUGGCCUGCCUGUAGUCCAGACAUGUCUCCCAUUGAAAAUGUGUGGCGCAUUAUGAAGCCUAAAAUACCACAACAGAGACCCCGGACUGUUGAACAACUUAAGCUGUACAUCAAGCAAGAAUGGGAAAGAAUUCCACCUGAAAAGCUUCAAAAAUUGGUCUCCUCAGUUCCCAAACGUUUACUGAGUGUUGUUAAAAGGAAAGGCCAUGUAACACAGUGGUAAAAAUGCCCCUGUGACAUUGUUUUUUGUAAUAUGUGGCUGCCAUUAAGUUCUAAGUUCAUGAUUAUUUGCAAAAAAAAUAUAUAGUUUCAGUUCAAACAUUAAAUAUCUUUUCUUUGCAGUCUAUUCAAUUGAAUAUAAGUUAAAGGGAUUUUCAAAUCAUUGUUUUCUGUUCAUUCCGUAAUACUCAAUGAAUUCAAGUGUGCCUCAGGAAUUACUCUUUUUUUUUUUUUUUUUAUUUGAUAAAUCACACUUUGAAUUUGGAAUAAGCACACGUUAUUGCUCGUUUAGAUUUAAAAAAGCGUUGUUACUAUAACAAUCUACAAGAUUAGUAUAGGUUGUCUCUCUCUCUUCCCUUCCAUCUUUCGGUCUUCCUUUUAUUUCAUUUAUUUUUUAUCUUUCUAGUUAUCAUUUUGUAUACGUAUUGUUGCAUUUAAACAACUGUAUUGUUGAUAAUAGAGGUAAACUAUUGGUAUUGUUCAUAAUCAAUAGCGCUUUUUCUAUUGGUAUUUGUAUUGCUCCAGUUGUAGUGUAAAAAUGCUCAUUGUCCUUUCUAUAUUAUUAUUUAUUUCACUCACUGCUUCUUUGCUAUCACUUUUAUGAUCAUAUUUGUACAUAUCGUAUGUGCUGGUGAUGUUCUAUUGUUUUUGUUUUUGUUAUUGUUGUGUUUGCUGUUGUUGUUUUUGUCUCUCUGUCUAAUCCCCCUCUUAUCCCCACAAUUCCCCCCUCUGUCUUCCUUUUUUUCUCUUUCUAUCCCCUCCUGCUCUGGCCCGGCUGCACCAAAUGAUAAUAUAAAUACAUUUAAUAAAGUCAAAUUCAAAUAAGGCAAUAAGAGAAGUAUCCUACACUUCUCUUUUGUAAAGUAAAUCUGAACAGCCGAUAUGGGCAUCUACAUCAACUACAUGAUUUGCCUGAGAAGCUGGACAGGACAUAAAAAAAAAAAAAGAUUUAAAAAAAGAGCCCAAUAUUUGGAAACAAAUGCGAUUUCGUUGCCAAAAUAUCAUACAAGAAAUGUUCUUGAUACGUGUUACUUAAAUGCACGUUAUUUAUUUGCUCCAAACGUGCUAAAAGCAUACUCUAGAGUCACAUCAGGGUGUAUGUUGGAGUGAAGUUUGCCAAUGAGUAAUCAGUUGCCGCCCCCUUGCUAAUUUUUGCAACAGUUAGAGUAAAGAAGCAUGUACGGUUCAAAUAAAUUGCAUGAUUAAUGCGAUAUUUUGGUGGAAAUAAUUACAUGAGUUAACAGCUCUUCUUUAAACAUGCACCAUACUGUACAUGUGUAAAUACUUUUAAGUCCACAUUAUUUCACUUAAAGUGCCUUUAUUUUGAUGUAAAUUAACAUAUAAAACCCAAAACCAGUGAAGUUGGCACGUGUAAUUUGUUAAAAAAAAAACAGAAUACAAUGAUUUGAAAAUCCUUUUCAAUUUAUAUCCAGAUGAAUAAACUGCAAAGACAAUGUUAAUGUUCGAACUGUGAAACUACAUUUUUUUUGGCAAAUAUU